This 671-nucleotide ribosomal RNA is filed under the name Paenibacillus sp. B14. RNAcentral's name for it is "bacterial SSU rRNA". It matches the Rfam family "Bacterial small subunit ribosomal RNA", at positions 87 to 745 of the family's 1533-position model. Lineage: Bacteria; Bacillati; Bacillota; Bacilli; Caryophanales; Paenibacillaceae. RNAcentral also lists the same sequence under 10 other names. The record is from RNAcentral.
GAUGGUUAGCGGCGGACGGGUGAGUAACACGUAGGCAACCUGCCCUCAAGCUUGGGACAACUACCGGAAACGGUAGCUAAUACCGAAUACUUGUUUUCUUCGCCUGAAGAGAACUGGAAAGACGGAGCAAUCUGUCACUUGGGGAUGGGCCUGCGGCGCAUUAGCUAGUUGGUGAGGUAACGGCUCACCAAGGCGACGAUGCGUAGCCGACCUGAGAGGGUGAUCGGCCACACUGGGACUGAGACACGGCCCAGACUCCUACGGGAGGCAGCAGUAGGGAAUCUUCCGCAAUGGGCGAAAGCCUGACGGAGCAAUGCCGCGUGAGUGAUGAAGGUUUUCGGAUCGUAAAGCUCUGUUGCCAGGGAAGAACGCUUGGGAGAGUAACUGCUCUCAAGGUGACGGUACCUGAGAAGAAAGCCCCGGCUAACUACGUGCCAGCAGCCGCGGUAAUACGUAGGGGGCAAGCGUUGUCCGGAAUUAUUGGGCGUAAAGCGCGCGCAGGCGGUCAUGUAAGUCUGGUGUUUAAUCCCGGGGCUCAACCCCGGAUCGCACUGGAAACUGUGUGACUUGAGUGCAGAAGAGGAGAGUGGAAUUCCACGUGUAGCGGUGAAAUGCGUAGAGAUGUGGAGGAACACCAGUGGCGAAGGCGACUCUCUGGGCUGUAACUGACG